ACAGCAGUAGCCGCGGGAAAACGUAGGGUGCAAGCGUUAAUCGGAAUUACUGGGCGUAAAGCGUGCGCAGGCGGUUAUAUAAGACAGAUGUGAAAUCCCCGGGCUCAACCUGGGAACUGCAUUUGUGACUGUAUAGCUAGAGUACGGCAGAGGGGGAUGGAAUUCCGCGUGUAGCAGUGAAAUGCGUAGAUAUGCGGAGGAACACCGAUGGCGAAGUCAAUCCCCUGGGCCUGUACUGACGCUCAUGCACGAAAGCGUGGGGAGCAAACAGGAUUAGAUACCCCGGUAGUCCCUGUCUCUUAUAC
This 305-nucleotide ribosomal RNA is filed under the name uncultured bacterium. Its description in RNAcentral is "partial 16S ribosomal RNA". It matches the Rfam family "Bacterial small subunit ribosomal RNA", at positions 506 to 807 of the family's 1533-position model. The record is from RNAcentral.